Molecule: ribosomal RNA, 489 nt
Filed under: uncultured bacterium
Lineage: Bacteria
Description: partial 16S ribosomal RNA
Rfam family: Bacterial small subunit ribosomal RNA
Source: RNAcentral
UUGCACGCUGGCGGCAUGCCUUACACCUGCCAGUCGAACGGCAGCAUGAUCUAGCUUGCUAGAUUGAUGGCGAGUGGCGAACGGGUGAGUAAUACAUCGGAACGUGCCCUGUAGUGGGGGAUAACUAGUCGAAAGAUUAGCUAAUACCGCAUACGACCUGAGGGUGAAAGUGGGGGACCGCAAGGCCUCAUGCUAUAGGAGCGGCCGAUGUCUGAUUAGCUAGUUGGUGAGGUAAAGGCUCACCAAGGCGACGAUCAGUAGCUGGUCUGAGAGGACGAUCAGCCACACUGGGACUGAGACACGGCCCAGACUCCUACGGGAGGCAGCAGUGGGGAAUUUUGGACAAUGGGCGAAAGCCUGAUCCAGCAAUGCCGCGUGUGUGAAGAAGGCCUUCGGGUUGUAAAGCACUUUUGUCCGGAAAGAAAUGGCUCUGGUUAAUACCUGGGGUCGAUGACGGUACCGGAAGAAUAAGGACCGGCUAACUACGUG